This is a long non-coding RNA of Homo sapiens (human), 880 nucleotides long. Ensembl annotates it as long intergenic non-protein coding RNA 390. Lineage: Eukaryota; Metazoa; Chordata; Mammalia; Primates; Hominidae. The record is from Ensembl.
GGGGCUGCCCUUUGGCCGCGCUCGGCCUUGUGGGAGAGCUAGUGGCUGCUGGCUUGUGCGCGCCGGUCUCAUCGCUGCUGAGGGUCAGCAGAGAGCCGCGGCCUGUGGGGCGUUGUCUAAUCCCAGAGCGCUGACUGCGGGCACCGAGAAUCCUGGCGUUAGUCCAAGGGGCCUGGCGAAAUCUCGUUAACGAGUACUGCAGGCUGUUGGUGAAGUCACGACGUAGUGCCAGUGGCCUCGUCCCGCUCUGCUCAAGGGACCCUCACAGGCUGUGGAAUCCGGGCGUCGGGACCUCCGGGGACCUGGGCCUUCUGCUUCCACUCUCAUUCCUGAAUGUUAAAGGGGCAGGGCCGGACCGGUAACAAGGGAAGGCUGGAGAAAUAGCAGGGACGGAUUUUCCUCCCGGAAACACAUUUGCAGGCCUCCUAGAAGGAAAAAUCUAGAAACAGUGGGAUUGGGGAAAGAACGACGUGGCGGUUCUCAUGUCUUGAUGGGAUCCCCCUUUGCCCUUGGGACACCAACAUCUCUCACCUGCUUUAUCGUCAUAAUCUUCUGACUGGAUUUCCUGCCCCAAGAUUUGCCCAUUCCUGUCAGGCCCACUCCAGCCCAGGGUGAUUGCUGCCAAAUGCUGCUGAUCACUACAUUCCCCAACUUAAAUACCUUUACAGAGUUCCCCGUUGCCCUCGAGACAAAGGCCUGACACUGAACUUAGCUCUUGAGGCAAUGGAGGUUCCGGCUUCCUGAUUACUGUUCCAGCCCCAUUUCUGACCACUUUCCACUCUGUUUCCCCCAGUCAGGGGUUUAUGAGAUUAAUAAAUGGAUGAACAAGCUAUUUCUAGAAAUAUCAGCAAUAUUAUCAGAGUAAAAGGAACCAUUAUAA